GGGGAGUUAGCUCAGCUGGAAGAGCGCCACGUUGACAUCGUGGAGGUCGCUGGUUCAAGCCCAGUACUGCCCACCA
RNAcentral lists this transfer RNA (76 nucleotides) under Tissierellia bacterium. Its description in RNAcentral is "tRNA-Val". It matches the Rfam family "tRNA". From Rfam's summary of the family: Transfer RNA (tRNA) molecules are approximately 80 nucleotides in length. The record is from RNAcentral. Lineage: Bacteria; Bacillati; Bacillota; Tissierellia.